Molecule: long non-coding RNA, 9187 nt
Filed under: Populus tremula
Lineage: Eukaryota; Viridiplantae; Streptophyta; Magnoliopsida; Malpighiales; Salicaceae
Description: long non-coding RNA (PTRE_LNC002775)
Source: RNAcentral
AAAAAUAAGAUGUUAUAAAUAUAUUAAUCUUGGUUCGGUUAAAAUUUUAAAAACUAACGAGUUUUCUGUGACAUCCAUUAACUAAAUCUUGUUAAUACAUUUAUUAAAAUUUAAUUAUUUUAUAUGGUAAUUUAUGAGCUUUUACAAUAAAUUCUCUUAGAAAAUAGUAAAGAUAAAUAUUAAUAGGGAAGAUAAAAUUAUUAUUAGCAAAUAACCUAAAUAAGAUAGAAGUGAAAUCCUAAAUAAGAAAAUUGAAUAUUUUUCAUUAAGUUUAGAUAUGAAUAGUCUAUCUUUUAUUAGAUAAAAAGAAAAUAUUGUCUUCUUGAAAAAAAUGGAGAACUCCUACUUGUGAACUUGAAAAUUGAUUUAAUUAUAUCUUAUUUUUUAUCAACUAAUAAAGCAUUGGUUUGAAUUUCAGAGAUGCUGGAUUUGAUUUUCUCAUUGCAUAUGUGCAAUCUGUUUACACACAAUAUGAGAAUGACAUAUCACAUAUAAAUGUUUCGUAUAAAAAGACUACAAGUCAUUUAUGUCAAUAACAAAAACCAGUGACAAUUCACCAACAUUAUCAUUAUGAUAUAUUUAACUUGAUAAUAGAUUUUUAGUUGGAAUAAUUAAAUUCUAGAUUCGGUGAUGAGACAUUGAAACUUCUUGUACUUAGUUCUACUUUAGAACUUGAUGACAACUUUAAAUCAUUUAAAGUUGAUGCUAUUUGUAAGUUUGCUAAGAAAUUUUAUCAUAAAGAUUUCAAUGAACAGGAGAUGUAUUAUUUGAGCUCUCGGAUAUAGCAUUGUUAGAUUGAUGUGAUUCAUCAUAUGAACUUUUAGAAUAUGUUACUAUUUUUGAAUUAUGUCGAGGAUUAGUUAAAAUAAAUAAGUCACAGCACUAUCAUUUGAUUGACAGGUUGAUUGGUCUUAUUCUGACAUUGUCUAUUUUCAUUACCAUCAUAAAACAAGCAUUUUCAGCAAUAAAACAUGUUAAAACUAUGUUUUGCAAUAAAAUGAAAGAUGAGUUUUUAGCAUAUUUUAUGAUGAUUUGCAUUGAACGAGAGCUUGCUGAAGAUAUUAAUUCGGAUUCGAUCAUAGAUGAAUUUUAUUCCACAAAAUAUGGAAGGGUGCAACUUCGAUAGUGUAAUUUAUUUUUAAUUUUAAAAAAUUUUAUAUACUUUAAAUUUGAAUUAAAACUUUAUUAUUAACUUCAAUAUAUAUAUAUAUAUAUAUAUUGAAAAAUAUAUAUAUAAAUUAAUAAUUAAUCUUAAAAAAUAAUUUAUAUAUGUGUGUUUAAUAGCCCAGGAGAGGAAAAAUUCCUAGCUCCGCCCUUGGAUACAACUUACAAGAGAAUUGAACAUAAAUUCCCAGAGGGUUUAAUUACUUGCAAGGUACUUCCUUAUACUUUCAAUUACAGCUGCAAGCCUUUUAGUAUACUUGCUGAUAAAUCUGAAGUGGAGCACCAAGUUUUUUCUUUCCAACAAAACAGUUUGUCUUUGUGGAGUACCUAUGUGUGUUUUCUUCUCAUGUAAUCGCAAGUUUGCACUAACACAGGUACGUACCUCACUGGUUCUUUCAAUUCCAUGCACACGAUUUAGUCUAAUUACAUAUGUCAUUGAUGGAAAUGGUCGAGUUCUAGAAAAACCCAGAAACGGCAAACAAGUCCUCUAAUUAAUAUGUAUUUUAUUUAUUAGGCGAAAAGCCUGAAAGAGGCACAUGGAUGGGAGAGACAAAUAACGGAGAUCACCAUGAAUAUACAUAUAACUAUUUCAUGGGGUUCUUCACAUGCCUUCCUACUUGUUUUUCUUAUCCACAUUUAGCUGCUGGUUUACAGGUUCCGGAUGCCGGUGCCUGUAAUGAACCAAUAAAAUACCUCAAUUAGACAACGCACGCGAUUAGCAAUUUCAUGAUGAAUAUGUUGAGACCAUUUUGUAUAAUAUGUUUAUGACAACCUUGUAAUGCAUUAAGGUUACAAGUUGAUAAUUAUGAACCCGUUCGGUAUGACGAUCAAGUGCAGUGACGAUGCAAGAUGCAUUAAUUUGGAGUUUUUUUUUUUUUUUUUAACACAACCAUAUCUUCAACCUUAUUAUCAAACACCUACAUGAUAUAAGGAAAGUUUUGCAUACCUUCUUUUUAGGCUCCCGGGGCUUCUGCUCGGCCUUUUUAGGGGCUGGUUUCGAUGCCGGAAUUUUGGGUGCACUGCUGCUGGAUUUAGCUGCAGGCUCUUUCUUGACAGGCUCGACUGGCUUAGUGCCAACAGGUUUCAUUGCUUUGAGUGAUGCCAUUCUUCUUCGGUACCCUGUGAAAGAGGUUGCACAAACACUUGCUGGCCUGAGUAAUAGGGUCCUUCAGAUAGUCCUAUUUAUAGCCAGGUUGCUUAAUUAUAACAUGGAAUCCGAAGAAGUAAUCACAUCAGAUGAAUGGAUAGAUAGGUGUGGCUGUUUGAAGGAAUAGAAUAACUUGAACUGGAGGCCUUUUGAGAGAUGCUGCAUCGGAUGCUUAAUUGGGCAUAUUUUAACGACAUUAUUGGAUGCUUAUUCUAUUAUAGAGGCAGUUAUUUUCAGGGAAUAAGCUUGAAUGCAAGUGCAUUCAAUGAGCUACAGAUAAAUCCGAUCUUGAUUAAUAGUCAGAUCAUGUCACCCUUGUAGUUACAAUUAGCCUAAUUGCGAUUAAUUUGAAAGGAUUUUCUAUAAUGACAGGGACUACAUGUAUUCGAUGCAUGCUUACUAGCAAUGAAAAAACAAGAGCUUUUAUCUACAAAAUAGCAUUCUGCAGAAUUUGCAGAUAUCUGUUUCUGUUUCGGCCACUGAUCCACGCAAUCUCAUGGAACUGAUGCCAAAUAAUUGACUGUAAUUCACAUUGAAGAGAUGUAGGAUUUCAAAAUAAGAGUAAAUUUACAUCACAAAACUCUCUGCAGAACAGACCUCUACUUGCCCGGUAGAGAUAAGAGGGACGGCAGUAGAUGAAGUGGAGGACGAAAGGAUGAAGUCAGGAAUUUAUGUACUAUUAUAAAGCUAGUGAAAUCAUUCAGGUAUAAGCUUUCCCUUUCCCUCCCGGAAGAUUUGUUUUGCAGUUCUAUGAGUGUAAUUAUUGUAGCAAUACCAAAAUGAAAAAACUAACUUAAUUACCGGACCUUCCAUGAUAAAUUGGCCUUGUAACAGAGAAUUUCAAAGUCAAUUAUAACAUCUUGGUUUCCCUUUAAGAUUCUGUGUUCUAGGUACAGGAAACUGAAAACAAACUCCUAACUCAUUCUUUUAAAUAAGGCAGAACUUCUUUGGAUAAUCUCUUCGGCAUAUAAUUGAUUUUCGUGCUCUCUUGUUAUUCCAGACAAAAGUCUUCAUCACCAUAUUUGGACUGGAACUACAGCACACAAAUACAGAAGGGAAUUUUUAUAAAUCAUAAUUAGUCUCCUGUCUGGUCACAGGUUGAUGUAAUUGGUUAACACAUGGUGUUAUUCGUGUGCGGCGUCGCGAUGAUUAUUUUUCUGAAUCAAGAUAAUCUGGAAUGAUAUGGGUAGAAAAGACAAGGAAUUCUUUAUUUUUUAAUUUAUUUUUUAAAAUCAUCCUUCAAUAUUAAAUUGAUUGAGAAUUAUGCUUUAUAAUUAUUUCGGUUUGUAUUUUAUGAAUUAUCCUAACUCAUAACUCGAGUUACAAGUUUGGUUUGUUGACUCAUGUGGUUUUUUUAUAUUCUUUUUAAAAUUUUACCUUUCAAUAUUAAAUUGAUUUGAGUUUUGUGAUUUGUUUUUACUUGCUUUUCAAGGGAUUAUUUCAGUCAUGUAACCAAUAUUUAGCAGAUUAACCAAAGUUGACUUGUUUUUUUAGUUGAAUUUUGUUUAUAAUUUUAUCAUUCACCAUUAGGUUGAUCAAAAAUUGAAUCUAAUAUUUUAUUUUAUUUUUGCUUUUUAUAUGAUUAUUAGGGUCUCUUGACUUGGUUAAUAGAUUUAAUAAAUUAAUUCAAGUUGAUAUAAUAUAUUAUCGUUUCAAUAUAUAUAUAAAAACAUGUUGUUUUAAUUUUUUUAAGUCAAACUAUAUUUUUAUACGUCAUUCGAGUUGUUUUUGAGUCUUUAAAGUUGAUUAGGUCACAUAAGUUCAAUCUCCAUAUAAUUUAAUUUAAAAAAAAAACAUAUUAAUAAUACUUAAAAAAAAUUUAGUUGAAUUUUGUUUUCAAUUUUAUCAUUCAACAUUAGGUUGAUCGAAAAAUGGAUCUAUUUUUAACUUGACUUAUUUUUUUAGUUAAAUUUUAUUUUCAACUUUAUCAUUUAACAUUAGAUUAAUCGAGAAUUGGAUCUAAUAUAUAUAUUUUUUUGCUUUUUAUAUGAUUAUUUUUUUAAUAAGUCAAAUUAACUUGGUUAUGGAUUUAACAAAUUAAUUUGAGUUGAUAUAAUAUAUUAUCGUUUCAAUAUUUAAAAGAACACAUGUUGUCUUAAUUUUUUAAGUCAAAUUAUAUUUUUAUAUGUCAUUCAGGUUGUUUUUUGAGUUUUUAAAGUCAAUUAGAUCAUAUAAAUUCAAUCUUCAUAUAGUUUAAUUUAUUAAAAAAAAACAUAUUAAAAAUACAGUAAUAAUUUAGUUUAAUGCUAAAAUUAAAUAAGAAAGUAAAUGGUGAACACGUAAAAUUCAAUUUAAAACGAACCUCGAUGAAAUAAAUAAAUAAAUAAAUAUCAAGCUGUUCGGGUAAAAAAGAAAAUUUAUGUUUUUUUUUAAUUAUUAUUGUUCCUUCUCUCUUUAUUCAGAAUCCUUUAUCUUGAAGGUGAACUUCCUUCUUCUAUUCCUUGUAAUUUCUGGUUCUAACCUAAAAACGUCUCCUUGCUAAAGAGAGAGUUGCUCCCGUGACAAUCUUACAAAAAAUACUCUAGCACGCAAUAUUUUUCUUUUUUAUUAUUUCUAUAUAGUAAAUUUUAUGAUAUAUAUAUAUUUUUCCUUUUAAUUUCUUAGAAGCGGUUGUCUUUCACUUUCUUGAAACCAAGGGUUGCCCAGCAAAACAAAGCCAGCCCAGAUAUGGCCCAGAACCUGUUUUUAAGCCCAAUGACAGAUCUCUCCCUCCUUCUCCAAAUAGUUCUUCUCCUUGCAGAUCUCUCCCUCCUUCUCCAAGGAGUAAGAUCUGACCCAGCUACGCUAGUCUGGCAGAGUUUAUUGAUGAACAAGAAGACAGUUGCAAGUGAGCAUACAAACUUUGAGUCAUUUCCAUAAUUUACAAAAUCGGUCGAAAGAGAAUUAAGUGGUUUGCAUUUCAAGAAACGAAAUCCACUUAAUUGUAUUAUUAUCCGCAUUAACAGUUCAUAAGAACUUCAUCUCUUAGACGGAUACCAUACUCCCAACUAGGCCAUCAAAUGAUAGCCCUACAAAGUAAAAAAGAAGAGAACAGGGAAAAGAAGAGAACAUAGGAAAAGCCAUAAUUUAAUUCGCCGAGUUGUAAAAUCAUAUAGCUGCAAAGAUUUUUGUCAGCCCGUGUUCCUCAUACCAGCAGCAAUACCAUUUAUGGUAAUAAGCAGUGCAUCUCUGAGUUUAUGAUUGUCAUCAUCGCUUCUCAACCUCUUUAGAAUCUCAACCUGCAACAUGUUCAUUGGAUUGAGGUAAGGGAGCCUGCUCUCAAUGAGCCUCCUCAAGCUCCGGUUGUUUUCUGAUAGCCUCUCAUGCCCACUAACCACCAAUACAAACUUCUCCGUCGUUAAGAGUUCUCUUCUUAGUGCAGCACCGAGUUCUCUCCUGCUCUCAUUAGAUACAAGGACUUCAUCGUAGUGCUUCGCUAUAGGAACGUCUGCCUUCCCCAAAACCAUCUCUAUAAGAUCUAUGGUAGAUUGGAAGAAAGGCCAUUCUUUGUACAUUGCUUUCAAAUCUUGGGUGUGUCCCUCCUCACAAACACCCUUCAAACCUGCCCCAACUCCAAGCCAUGCUGGAAGAACAAAUCUUGUUUGGGUCCAGGCAAAUACCCAUGGAAUGGCACGAAGAUGUCCAAUUCCUGUUGAGCUCUUUCUUCUUGUGGGUCGGCUUCCUAUGUUGAGGAAACCAAGCUCCGCUUGUGGAGUAGCCUCAUGGAAGUACGCAAGAAACUCUGGGUUUUCAUAUACCGUGCUCCGGUAACUUUGGCAGCUGAUUUUUGAAAUAAGGCAGAACUUCUUUGGAUAAUCUCUUCGGCAUAUAAUUGAUUUUCUUCCUCUCGUGUUAUUCCAGAGAAAAGUCUUCAUCACCAUAUUUAGACCGGAACUACUGGACACAAAUACAGAAUGGUUGAUGUAAUUGGUUAACACAUGGUAUUGCUCAUGUGCGGGGUUGCGAUGAUUAUCUUUUUGAAUUAGGAUAAUCUGGAAUGAUAAGGGUAGAAAAAACAAGAAAUUAUUAUUUUUUAUUAACAAAAAAUAAUAAUAAUAAUUUAAUCACUUAAAAUCUUAACUGGUCUCAGAAUUAGAAAAAAAAAACUAAUUACAUAAAAGAAAAGGUAUUAGCUCUUUUAAUAUGUAUUAUCUAAGGUAAGCUAUAUUUUAUAUUUAUCUGGUAUAAACAAAAAAAAAAGUUGUGUUUUCUUUUUUAUUUCCUUUUUUUUUUCAACCCCUAUUCUCGAUCUCAAAGGAGUAUUUAUAGGAUUUUGGAAUGUCUUGAAUCCAUUUCAGACCUUUUAUUCUUGAAAAGAGUGUUGUGAACCCUUGAUAAUAACUCAUUGAAGAGCCUUUGUGUAUGAACACUCGAAAACCUUGAUAAAAAUCCAUUUUUAGUCUAAAAAAUCACUAGAAAAACAUUAGCAACAUCUAGAUGUUUGUUUUAUAUUUUUUUAAAAAAAAAAAACGGAUCCAAUACACAGCAUAACAUGGACCAAUGAUCUAGUAUAUAAAGUGUUUGGCUUUUCACUACAGUAAUAAAUAGGAAAAGCCAAGCACUUUUUCACUUUGAUCCUUGAAACUUUUUAGAAUUUUUUUUAUUUUUUUUAAUUUAAUCCUUCAAUAUUAGGUUUGCUGGGUAUAAAACUUCAUAAUUUAUUUCAAUUUAUUUUUUAUGUUAUCCUGGUGUUAUGACUCAGGUCGUGAGUUUUAUAUAGCCGUGUUGACUCAUGUCAUGUUUUUUGUUUAUUUUUUUAUUAAUUGUUUUAAAUUUCAUCCUUCAACAUUGAGUUUAUUAGGAAUCUGAAUUCAUAAUAUUUUUCUAUUAGCUUUCUAUAGAGUUAUUCUGGUCUUUUGAUCCGGGUUUUUCAAGUUAAUCCAAUUUGACUUAGAUCAUUUUUUUUGUUCUUUUUUUAUUUGAUUUUUUUUUCUAAUUUAGUCCUUUAAAAUUGGGUUAAUUGAGAAUUGAGAUAUAUAUAUAUAUAUAUAUAUAUAUAUGGUGUUAUCACGGUCUUAUAACUCGGGUCUUGGAUUAAGCCGGUUAACUCAAGUUUUUUUUGUCUUUUUAGUUUAUUUUUUUAAUUUUAUUCUUUAAUAUUAAGUUGGUUAAGAAUUAGGUUUCAUAAUUAUUUCGGUUUGCAUUCUAUGAAAUUAUUUUAGUCUCUUGACUCGAGUCACGAGUUUGGUUUGUUAACUCAAGUGAUUUUUUGUACUUUUUUUUAAAAUUUCAUCCUUUAACAUUGAGUGAUUUGAGUUUCAUAAUUUGUUUUGACUUGUUUUUCAAGAGGAUAUCUCGGUCUUGUAACCCAUAUUUGGUAGAUUAAUCCAAGUUGACUUACCUUGUUUUUUUAGUUGAUUUUUGUUUUUAAUUUUAUCAUUCAAUAAUAGAUUGAUUGAGAAUUUGAUCUAAUAUUUUAUUUUAUAUUUUGCUUUCUAUAUGAUUAUUAGAGUAUCUUGACUUGGUUAAUGGAUUUAAUAAGUUAAUUGAAGUUGAUAUAAUAAUUGUUUUUAAAUCAAAUUAUAUUUUUAUAUGUCAUUCAAGUUAUCUUUAAAGUUGACUAGGUUAUAUAAGUUCAAUUUUUAUAUAGUUUAAUUAAAAAAAUACAUUAAUAAUACUUGAAUAUUUUUUUUACAUUAAAAAAAUUAAUCUGACUCAUGAUGUAACAAUAAUUUAGUUUAAUGCUAAAAUUAAAUAAGAAAGUAAUUGGUGAACACAUGUAAAAUUCAAUUUAAAACGAACCUCGAUGUUUGCACUUUGCAGCAUCCCGGUUGCUGAAAUAAAUAAAUAUCAAGCGUACGGGAAAAAAGCAAAUUUAUGUUUUUUUUAUUAUUAUUUUUCCUUUUUCUCUUUAUUCAGAAGCCGUUGUCUCGAAGGUGAACUUCCUUCUUCUAUUCCUUGUAAUUUCUAGUUCUAUCCUAAAAACGUCUCCUUGCUAAAAAGAGAGUUGCUCCCGUGACAAUCUUACACAAAACACUAUAGCACGCAAUAUUUUUCUUUUUUAUUAUUUCUAUAUAAUAAAAUUUAUGAUUUUUUUUUCCUUUUAAUUUCUUAGCAGCGGUUGUCUUUCACUUUCUUGAAACCAAGGGUUGCACAGCAAAACAAAGCCAGCCCAGAUAUGGCCCAGAACCUUUCUUUUAAGCCCAAUGGCAGAUCUCUCCCUCCUCCUUCUAAUAGCUCUUCUCCUCACAGAUCUCUCCCUCCUCCUUCAAGGAGUAACAUCUGACCCAUCUACGCUAGUCUAGCAGAGUUUAUUGAUGAACAAGAAGACAAUUGCAAGCGAGCAUACAAAGUUUGAGUCAUUUCCAUAAUUUACAAGUCGGUCGAAAGAGAAUUAAGUGAUUUGCAUUUCAAGAAACGAAAUCCACUUAAUUGUAUUAUUAUCCGCAUUAACAUUUCAUAAGAACUUCAUCUCUUAGACGGAUACCAUACUCCCAACUAGGCCAUCAAACGAUAGCCCUAAAAGGUCAAAAAGAAGAUAACAGGGAAAAGAAGAGAACAUAGGAAAAGCCAUAAUUUAAUUCGCCGAGUUGUAAAAUCAUAGAGCUGCAAAGAUUUUUGUCAGCCCGUGUUCCUCAUACCAGCAGCAAUACCAUUUAUGGUAAUAAGCAGUGCAUCUCUGAGUUUAUGAUUGUCAUCAUCGCUUCUCAACCUCUUUAGAAUCUCAACCUGCAACAUGUUCAUUGGAUUGAGGUAAGGGAGCCUGCUCUCAAUGAGCCUCCUCAAGCUCCGGUUGUUUUCUGAUAGCCUCUCAUGCCCACUAACCACCAAUACAAACUUCUCCGUCGUUAAGAGUUCUCUUCUUAGUGCAGCACCGAGUUCUCUCCUGCUCUCAUUAGAUACAAGGACUUCAUCGUAGUGCUUCGCUAUAGGAACGUCUGCCUUCCCCAAAACCAU